This 349-nucleotide RNase P RNA is filed under the name marine eukaryotic metagenome. Its description in RNAcentral is "Bacterial RNase P class A". It matches the Rfam family "Bacterial RNase P class A". From Rfam's summary of the family: Ribonuclease P (RNase P) is a ubiquitous endoribonuclease, found in archaea, bacteria and eukarya as well as chloroplasts and mitochondria. Its best characterised activity is the generation of mature 5'-ends of tRNAs by cleaving the 5'-leader elements of precursor-tRNAs. The record is from RNAcentral.
GGGUGCGGUGGUCGCGGGGCCUUCGGGCCUCGAGGAAAGUCCGAGCUCCACAGGGUCGAUUGCCAGGUAACGCCUGGGCGCCGCAAGGCGACGGACAGGGCCACAGAAAAUAUACCGCCCACCUCGGUGGGUAAGGGUGAAAAGGUGGGGUAAGAGCCCACCGCGCCGCUGGUAACAGCGGUGGCAGGGUAACCCCCAAUCGGAGCAAGGCCAAAUAGGCGGCGAGGUGCGGCCCGCACCGUUCGAGCCGUGGGUAGGCUGCUCGAGGCGUCCGGCGACGGACGUCCCAGACAGAUGACCGCCCGUCUACCUCGGUAGACGAACAGAACUCGGCUUACGGCCCGGCCUC